UACGUAGGAGUGACAGCUAGUUAGUCGAAUUACUGGGCGUAAAGCGUGCGCAGGCGGUUCUAUAAGACAGAUGUGAAAUCCCCGGGCUCAACCUGGGAACUGCAUUUUGUGACUGUAGAGCUGGAGUACGGCAGAGGGGGAUGGAAUUCCGCGUGUAGCAGUGAAAUGCGUAGAUAUGCGGAGGAACACCGAUGGCGAAGGCAAUCCCCUGGGCCUGUACUGACGCUCAUGCACGAAAGCGUGGGGGAGCAAACAGG
This 257-nucleotide ribosomal RNA is filed under the name uncultured bacterium. RNAcentral describes it as "partial 16S ribosomal RNA". The stretch from base 27 to 257 matches the Rfam family "Bacterial small subunit ribosomal RNA", at positions 548 to 776 of the family's 1533-position model. The record is from RNAcentral.